This 437-nucleotide long non-coding RNA is filed under the name Canis lupus familiaris (dog). RNAcentral describes it as "lncRNA (ENSCAFG00805026301.1, ENSCAFG00845025573.1)". The record is from RNAcentral. Lineage: Eukaryota; Metazoa; Chordata; Mammalia; Carnivora; Canidae.
AAAUUUUUUUCUCAGACCUAAGAGGCCAAUGUGAAUACCAAAAUGAUAUAGAGGACCCAGAAGAAUGACUCUUGAAAUCAUAGUAGUUUACGUGAACUCAUAUUUAAAUAGAUUCUUGCAGGGAGGUGACUAAAAGGAUCAAAAUGCUGCAUCAAGGAUCAACAAAGGUGAAUCUGCAUGAGUGUUCUCUGUCUUUGAAGAGUGUGGUGGAUGUAGCUGGACCUACGAGAUCUUCGAGAUGGAGGCACUCAUUUCCCAGGGGCCAGAGUGCUCCUUGCCGUUGUUUACAGUCAAGCACUUACCUAAAACUUGCCCUUGGCCAAGAGAGGCUAUCUUCUCCAAAGUUUCAGUCCUGCCUCGGGUCCAGCCUGAUCCAGGGACUAAACCUGGCAAGAUUUCUGGUGGGUCAUCCCAGCUUCAGGGUACCCAAUGACUGA